GUGACGUCAAGUCAGCAUGGCCUUUAUAUCCUGGGCUACACACACGCUACAAUGGCCAACACAAUAGGUUGCUAAGCCGCGAGGUGGAGCCAAUCCAUAAAGUUGGUCUCAGUUCAGAUUGUAGGCUGCAACCCGCCUGCAUGAAGAUGGAGUUGCUAGUAACCGCAGGUCAGCUAUACUGCGGUGAAUACGUUCCCGGGGCUU
Molecule: ribosomal RNA, 204 nt
Filed under: uncultured Leptolinea sp.
Lineage: Bacteria; Bacillati; Chloroflexota; Anaerolineae; Anaerolineales; Anaerolineaceae
Description: partial 16S ribosomal RNA
Rfam family: Bacterial small subunit ribosomal RNA
Source: RNAcentral